Long non-coding RNA from Peromyscus californicus insignis, 1297 nucleotides. RefSeq lists it as uncharacterized. NCBI's taxonomy places the organism in Eukaryota, Metazoa, Chordata, Mammalia, Rodentia, Cricetidae. The transcript is spliced from 3 exons. The record is from RefSeq and is a predicted model, not a curated record.
ACGCUGGUUUGUCACCAUGGAGACUUGUGUCUGGCUCACAGGAAGCUCAAGGCUUGAUUCUUGUCCAGAAGGAGAUGGCCGUCUAGGUGGAAGGUCUGAGCCCAGGGAGACACUUCAGGAGCCCGCCAAGGCCUGACUCCAGUCAACCUCCCUGGCCUCUCCCUGAUCACGUCACCACACAGGUCCCUGCUCCACCCUGGAGCAGACAGCUGAGCAAGGCCUGAGCUGGACAGAGAGGUACCGGAGAGCUUAACCCACCAGAGGGCCUAUUAAGUGAAUUAAGUCAAGAAGACGCACCCUAACUGCAGAUGGCACCAUCUCAUGGCCCGGGUCCCAGACUGCACAUAAAAGGAGAAUGCUAGCUGAACACCAGCCUUCGUCUCUCUCUUUGCUUCAUGACUACAGAGGCCAUGUGCUGGACCAGCUGGCUCACCCUCACACGAUGGAGUGAGCCAAAUAAAAAGAAAGAAGCCCUCCUUUCACGUGGCUUUUGUCACAGCAAGAAAAGCGACCAACACUGUGGCCUUAUGGAGAGCUUUGGCAAUGGAGACCUUGACACAUGGUCCAGGGCAUUGGUUUCGGGCCAGGGACACAGGAAGCAAAAAGGCUUUGGGUGGAGCUUUGCCAAUCCCUGGGCAGAGUCCCCUCUUGCUCCCUGGGUGCAGGAGCUGCUCAUGCACCUGUGGGCACAAGCAUUCAGCUGAUCAAAGAGCUCCCAUCAGAUGCAGCCGAUUAGUGCCCGGGACCAGCCAUGCAUGGGAAGGACUGAGCAUGAAGGGUUUUUCUUUGCACAAACCAAAGUAAAGGCAAGGAUGGAGCUCUAUGGGGAGGAUCCUUGAGCAUGGCUGCAGCUGGAAGCCUCAGUUUGUGGGGCAGUGAAAUCACCGUAUAUGGCUUGAGAGGAAAUUCUCAGCAAAGAUGCAAAUAGGUCAUCAAGUAAUGGCAAAAAUAUGCAGCUGAAUGGAUGUGCCUCUGCAGUCUCUGUGGCUCCAAAGGCUGAGCAAACUCCAGGACUGAGAGCUGCAAUCCACAGAGGACAGGGACAAGAGACUCUCCCUGUGUCCCCCAGCCAGCCUCUAACCUCCUCUUCCUAUCUCCCCAUUGGGAUCUGCCCCUAGUCUGUCCAGCAUCCCCAUCCCCAGUGGCGGAGACCAGACAGGGACAGGAGAUGGCUGGAGACUCUUGCUGGUGACUAAUGCAAUACUUGAACAGGAAACAGACUGCAAAAGACUUAGGAGAGGCUAUAAUUAGCUCCUGUCCUAAAAACACUCACUUGGGAAGAAAUGGAAUUAACAUA